UACAGGGGGCGCGAGCGUUGCUCGGAAUCACUGGGCGUAAAGCGUACGCAGGCGGACCGUUAAGUCGGAUGUGAAAUCCCAGGGCUCAACCCUGGAAGUGCAUUCGAUACUGGCGGUCUUGAGUACGGGAGAGGAGAGCGGAAUUCCUGGUGUAGAGGUGAAAUUCGUAGAUAUCAGGAGGAACACCGGUGGCGAAAGCGGCUCUCUGGCCCGAUACUGACGCUCAUGUACGAAAGCGUGGGGAGCAAAC
RNAcentral lists this ribosomal RNA (250 nucleotides) under uncultured bacterium. Its description in RNAcentral is "partial 16S ribosomal RNA". It matches the Rfam family "Bacterial small subunit ribosomal RNA", at positions 524 to 773 of the family's 1533-position model. The record is from RNAcentral.